Long non-coding RNA from Mangifera indica (mango), 677 nucleotides. RefSeq lists it as uncharacterized. The transcript is spliced from 3 exons. The record is from RefSeq and is a predicted model, not a curated record. NCBI's taxonomy places the organism in Eukaryota, Viridiplantae, Streptophyta, Magnoliopsida, Sapindales, Anacardiaceae.
AUUAGGCUAAGAUAAAUAAAUAGAAUCCCCCUGUCUUCAUCUUGUUUUUGUUUACUUGUAUUCAUUUAGACUCCAAAAUCGAAUAUAUUCAGCAGCUUCAUGGGCUUGGUUGGAAGGUAGGCCGCCGCGCCCAUUCACUGUUUCACAUUUUAGUUAAUAUUCGGACGGGCUUGAGGCACAGAAUGUUGCCCGAAGGCUGAGCAUGGCCAGACAGUCAAGUCGUUCUUGUCAUUGCUGGGGAUGGAGUUGAUCUAAAAGCUGUUGAAGCAGAAAUCAGUAAGCAGUGUGGAAACCUUCCAAGAGAAGAGUUUGCUUCAAAAUCCCUUAGCCACAGUUACACCGUGUUUGCUCGUGAUAUGCUGGAGUGGAAGGUCUGAAAAAGUUUGGUCCAUAUGUUGCAACGAUGGCGGAAGUGGAAGGCUUGGAAGCCCACAAGAGAGCGUUAACUCUUAGAUUGCAAGACAUUGGAGCCAGGCAAGUUGCAAAUAUAAGUUAGGCUCCUUUCGUUUGUAUUUGUUUUCUGAUUUUUUUUUUUCGAAAACAGCCUGUCAUGUUCUCUCACUUUGCAAAAUUUGUGUUAUUGCUAUUACUGUUGGAACUUUGUUUGUUGUAACAUGAUAUAGAUCUCAAAAUCUCAAUGCCUGAUCAAUACAAUCUUUUAGAGACGAGUUUAGUUA